This 467-nucleotide ribosomal RNA is filed under the name uncultured bacterium. RNAcentral's name for it is "bacterial SSU rRNA". It matches the Rfam family "Bacterial small subunit ribosomal RNA", at positions 335 to 793 of the family's 1533-position model. The record is from RNAcentral.
ACUCCUACGGGAGGCAGCAGUGGGGAAUUUUGGACAAUGGGCGCAAGCCUGAUCCAGCAAUGCCGCGUGAGUGAAGAAGGCCUUCGGGUUGUAAAGCUCUUUUGUCAGGGAAGAAACGGUAGAGGCUAAUAUCCUUUGCUAAUGACGGUACCUGAAGAAUAAGCACCGGCUAACUACGUGCCAGCAGCCGCGGUAAUACGUAGGGUGCAAGCGUUAAUCGGAAUUACUGGGCGUAAAGCGUGCGCAGGCGGUUUUGUAAGUCUGACGUGAAAUCCCCGGGCUCAACCUGGGAAUUGCGUUGGAGACUGCAAGGCUAGAAUCUGGCAGAGGGGGGUAGAAUUCCACGUGUAGCAGUGAAAUGCGUAGAGAUGUGGAGGAACACCGAUGGCGAAGGCAGCCCCCUGGGUCAAGAUUGACGCUCAUGCACGAAAGCGUGGGGAGCAAAGCAGGAUUAGAUACCCUGGUAG